GACGAACCGUGCGAACGUUGUUCGGAUUCACUGGGCUUAAAGGGCGCGUAGGCGGGCCGCCAAGUCAGGGGUGAAAUCUUUCGGCUCAACCGGAAAAGUGCCCCUGAUACUGGCGGCCUCGAGGGAGGUAGGGGCGUGCGGAACUUCCGGUGGAGCGGUGAAAUGCGUAGAUAUCGGAAGGAACGCCGGUGGCGAAAGCGGCGCGCUGGACCUCUUCUGACGCUGAGGCGCGAAAGCCAGGGGAGCAAACGGG
Molecule: ribosomal RNA, 253 nt
Filed under: uncultured bacterium
Lineage: Bacteria
Description: partial 16S ribosomal RNA
Rfam family: Bacterial small subunit ribosomal RNA
Source: RNAcentral